UUGUCGCUACGCGCUUACCAGCCUGGCCGUACCCUAUGGAUUUUGAGCAACAUUUGACGUGCUUAGAUUUCUUUUGGGGUUACAUUAAAAACAUUGUGUACGAUACUCCCAUAAGUGAUCACAUACUUGUAGUAGCAGUUGGAACAGAUGACAUAGUUGUGAUGACAGGUGACAGAGAAGGCAUACAGGGAGGAGAUCCCUGCAACAGUAGAUCUUUUCAUGUUUUCGGAGGUCUGGAGUCUCAUUCGAAAUUAUUCCAGGAUCUUCAUCAGACACAUCUGACUGCCUGGGAUUUUUGAUCUUGACGAACUCCUUCCUUGUUGCAGCAUUGUUGAAGAUGAUAUGUUCUGAUAUAUACAUCUUCAUUGCAAAUGCAAAGUGCAUGAUUAAAAAUCUGAAUAACUGAUAUGUAAAAUCACUUAUAUCAUCCACCGUCUUGCAAUGUCGACGCAUGGAUGUCGAGUUGUAGGAACAAUUAACUAUCCUUUGUUUUAUCCUGUAGGCAUCUAAAAAUAAUUAAAUAUUUAGUAAUUUAUAUUAAAAUAAAAUAUAUUGUAUACUUACUUUUUAAAAUGAAAUGUAUAUUUUUAAAUACUGAAGGAAAGUUGUUGUAUACUGAACAGCUGAAUCAAAGUUACUAUAUACCAGGUUGUCUUGUUAGACAGCCGCGCUGCUAUUGGCUCUCACGAAUGACGUCACUGUGGAAGCAAGCACUAUAGUUACCGUGUAGCUUCUACAUUAUUUUUUAACUUUUAAUUAAUUUGAAACUUGAUUUUACUUUUUGUGUAU
Molecule: long non-coding RNA, 789 nt
Filed under: Androctonus crassicauda
Lineage: Eukaryota; Metazoa; Arthropoda; Arachnida; Scorpiones; Buthidae
Source: RNAcentral